UACGAAAGGUGCAAGCGUUACUCGGAAUCACUGGGCGUAAAGCGCACGUAGGCGGACUCGUAGGUCAAUUGUGAAAUACCUGGGCUCAACCCGGGAACUGCAGUUGAAACCGCUUGUCUUGAAUACCUGAGAGGAGAGUGGAAUUCCUGGUGUAGCGGUGAAAUGCGCAGAUAUCAGGAGGAACACCGGUGGCGAAGGCGGCUAUCUGGACCGACAUUGACGCUGAGGCGCGAAAGCGUGGGGAGCAAACAGG
Molecule: ribosomal RNA, 253 nt
Filed under: uncultured bacterium
Lineage: Bacteria
Description: partial 16S ribosomal RNA
Rfam family: Bacterial small subunit ribosomal RNA
Source: RNAcentral